RNA transcript from Drosophila mauritiana, 687 nucleotides. RefSeq lists it as uncharacterized. The transcript is spliced from 2 exons. Lineage: Eukaryota; Metazoa; Arthropoda; Insecta; Diptera; Drosophilidae. The record is from RefSeq and is a predicted model, not a curated record.
GAGCGAGACAGCAUGGCAGGGCAAGAGCAACAUGGUGUGAGCGGUGCAGCUAGUGUGCCAUGGCGUUGCCAGACUGUCGCUGGUGCAGUGCGUUGGGGUUUCGAACAGCGCCAAAAGUACUCUUGCUUCAAUCUCGGCUCGUUAGGGCGCAACAAAGCAAGCGCAUUUCAUCGCUCAUCAUCAUCAUCACCACCUUACCCCCACCCCGUUCAACAAAUCGCUUUUCUUGGAGCAUAAUGCACACAUACACUGGCACAGUCACACCGACACGUAUGUGCCGGUCAUCAUCAUCAUCAUUAGGUUGUGCGAUGGAGCAACAACAACAACAGCAACAACAAAAGCGAACGUCAUUAGCGGGCUAAAUAACAAAAAAUGAUAAUGUCGCUGCUGCCACAAAGUCGUCGUCAGUUGGGGUAAUCAUCAUUAAAUUGCACAUCGUCUCGUUGAAAAAGUUAUAGAGGGCGGGGCGGUGGUCGAUGGGGGCGGGGCAAGGCGGAAGAAGAAGAAAUUGGGAGAAGCGAAAUCCCAAUAACAAGGUCACCAAAUAUUUGAAAAUCUAUCUACAAACCUAGCCAACUAUAUAAAUAGUAAACUUUGAGAUAAUUAAUAAUAGACAUACAAACUAAUAUUGUUUAUUUGUAUUUUGAAAAAUAUAUUACGUAAAUUACUAGUUAUUGACACAUAUUU